This 21-nucleotide microRNA is filed under the name Canis lupus familiaris (dog). Its description in RNAcentral is "Cfa-Mir-1296_3p* (star (passenger))". Lineage: Eukaryota; Metazoa; Chordata; Mammalia; Carnivora; Canidae. The record is from RNAcentral. RNAcentral also lists the same sequence under 3 other names.
AGUGGGGCUUUGACCCUAACC